ACUCCUACGGGAGGCAGCAGUGGGGAAUUUUGGACAAUGGGCGAAAGCCUGAUCCAGCAAUGCCGCGUGAGUGAAGAAGGCCUUCGGGUUGUAAAGCUCUUUUGUCAGGGAAGAAACGGUGAAAGCUAAUAUCUUUUGCUAAUGACGGUACCUGAAGAAUAAGCACCGGCUAACUACGUGCCAGCAGCCGCGGUAAUACGUAGGGUGCAAGCGUUAAUCGGAAUUACUGGGCGUAAAGCGUGCGCAGGCGGUUUUGUAAGUCUGAUGUGAAAUCCCCGGGCUCAACCUGGGAAUUGCAUUGGAGACUGCAAGGCUAGAAUCUGGCAGAGGGGGGUAGAAUUCCACGUGUAGCAGUGAAAUGCGUAGAUAUGUGGAGGAACACCGAUGGCGAAGGCAGCCCCCUGGGUCAAGAUUGACGCUCAUGCACGAAAGCGUGGGGAGCAAACAGGAUUAGAAACCCCGGUAGUCC
Molecule: ribosomal RNA, 469 nt
Filed under: uncultured organism
Description: partial 16S ribosomal RNA
Rfam family: Bacterial small subunit ribosomal RNA
Source: RNAcentral